Molecule: ribosomal RNA, 576 nt
Filed under: Triticum aestivum (bread wheat)
Lineage: Eukaryota; Viridiplantae; Streptophyta; Magnoliopsida; Poales; Poaceae
Description: partial small subunit ribosomal RNA
Source: RNAcentral
AUGUGGUCCAAGGGCAAUUAUCAAGUGGUCGGGGUUGCGGAGGAGAAUUUGAGGUUUCAGAAUAAUCUCCCACCACCACCACGAUUCAUAUCUGGAGAAGCUUUGUGGAAUCCGUGGUGUUGUCCUUCUCGUACUAUGGUUGCUGGCCUAUGGGGAAUCAGGAUGGACAUUGAGCAAAGUGGCAGCAACGGGUGGCAGGUGUUGUGGCCGAGGAGCUCCAGCACACACCCACAUGUUCACUUGUUGACCUGGCAGCUCUUCACUGAGGUUUGCUGCUUUGGUUUGGCUGGGAUGUGUGCCUCCAUGGUUGGGUCGUGUGGACUGCUGGCAAGGAUGGAGAAGCAUAGGAAGGUGUCACCAUUGCAUAGAUUCUAUUAUAGCCAUGCUAGCUGCUUGGCCAUGUCAUUUUGUUCACACAGGUGUGUCCACAACAACUCUGAUAGUGCCAUGCCGGACACGGUAUCAUUAAACAAGGACUCUUUUGGCGGACUCUUUUAUCACCUGUUUCCUGGCGCUAAGUCUGCAAACGGUUCAGCUUUGCUUCAGUCCUCUCUUGAGGCCAGAGCAGUAACAUGA